RNAcentral lists this ribosomal RNA (301 nucleotides) under uncultured bacterium. RNAcentral's name for it is "partial 16S ribosomal RNA". It matches the Rfam family "Bacterial small subunit ribosomal RNA", at positions 509 to 807 of the family's 1533-position model. The record is from RNAcentral.
CAGCAGCCGCGGUAAUACGUAGGUGGCAAGCGUUAUCCGGAAUUAUUGGGCGUAAAGCGCGCGUAGGCGGUUUCUUAAGUCUGAUGUGAAAGCCCACGGCUCAACCGUGGAGGGUCAUUGGAAACUGGGAAACUUGAGUGCAGAAGAGGAAAGUGGAAUUCCAUGUGUAGCGGUGAAAUGCGCAGAGAUAUGGAGGAACACCAGUGGCGAAGGCGACUUUCUGGUCUGUAACUGACGCUGAUGUGCGAAAGCGUGGGGAUCAAACAGGAUUAGAUACCCCGGUAGUCCCUGUCUCUUAUAC